This 72-nucleotide transfer RNA is filed under the name Phrynocephalus helioscopus (sunwatcher toadhead agama). Its description in RNAcentral is "tRNA-Gln". It matches the Rfam family "tRNA". From Rfam's summary of the family: Transfer RNA (tRNA) molecules are approximately 80 nucleotides in length. Their secondary structure includes four short double-helical elements and three loops (D, anti-codon, and T loops). The record is from RNAcentral. Lineage: Eukaryota; Metazoa; Chordata; Lepidosauria; Squamata; Agamidae.
UAGAGAAUAGUAUAAGUGGUAAUACAAGAGAUUUUGGAUUUUUUUAUGGGGGUUCAAGUCCUCUUUCUCUAG